Pseudophryne corroboree (corroboree frog) is the source of this 253-nucleotide long non-coding RNA. RefSeq lists it as uncharacterized. The record is from RefSeq and is a predicted model, not a curated record. The transcript has 3 exons. Lineage: Eukaryota; Metazoa; Chordata; Amphibia; Anura; Myobatrachidae.
CUGAGCUGACAUGAGGCAUGCAGCUCAGAGGCAGGAGCAGGAAACGUGGGGGAGAGACCUGACCUGACAUAGGGGACUCCAGAGAUCACACACACAGGAGCUGGGAUCCUACAGAGGAAGAUGACAACAAACUGACUGACUGAUCUCUUUAGAGGUCCCUGUGACGAGACCAGUUCCUAUUUCCUGAAGAAGAAGGGGCAAGAACCACGGAUAAUGAUAACUUAUCUAUCAGCUACUCAGAGAAUAGACUGGC